RNAcentral lists this ribosomal RNA (500 nucleotides) under uncultured bacterium. RNAcentral's name for it is "partial 16S ribosomal RNA". It matches the Rfam family "Bacterial small subunit ribosomal RNA", at positions 30 to 523 of the family's 1533-position model. The record is from RNAcentral.
AUUGAACGCUGGCGGAAUGCUUUACACAUGCAAGUCGAACGGCAGCACGGACUUCGGUCUGGUGGCGAGUGGCGAACGGGUGAGUAAUGUAUCGGAACGUGCCCAGACGUGGGGGAUAACGUAGUGAAAAUUACGCUAAUACCGCAUACGAUCGAGGGAUGAAAGAGGGGGAUCGCAAGCCGUAGUGGGGUUGGAGCGGCCGAAAUCAGAGUAGGUGAGUGGAGGGGUAAACGCCGACCAAGCCAACGAUCUGUAGCUGGUCUGAGAGGACGACCAGCCACACUGGAACUGAGGCACGGUCCAGACUCCUACGGGAGGCAGCAGUGGGGAAUUUUGGACAAUGGGCGAAAGCCUGAUCCAGCCAUUCCGCGUGCAGGAUGAAGGCCCUCGGGUUGUAAACUGCUUUUGCACAGAACGAAAAGGUUUCUACUAAUACUAGGAGCUCAUGACGGUACUGUAAGAAUAAGCACCGGCUAACUACGUGCCAGCAGCCGCCGUAA